CAAUAGCGUAUAUUAAAGUUGUUGCAGUUAAAAAGCUCGUAGUUGGAGUUCAGAGUGAGCUCGUCCGGUCGGCCUUAUGGGUCAGAACUGGUUGACUCUCUCUUGUUUGUGGAUCCUGUCAGCAGUUAACUCUGUUGAUGUGGAGUCCACAUCGUUUACCUUGAAAAAUUAGAGUGUUCAAAGCAGGCGUUUGCUUGAAUAUAUUAGCAUGGAAUAAUAAGAUAGGACUUCGGUGCUAUUUUGUUGGUUUGCGCACAGAGGUAAUGAUGAACAGGGACAGUUGGGGGUAUUUGUAUUUCGUUGUCAGAGGUGAAAUUCUUAGAUUUACGAAAGACAAACUACUGCGAAAGCAUUUACCAAGGAUGUUUUCAUUAAUCAAGAACGAAAGUUAGGGGAUCGAAGAUGAUUAGAUACCGU
This 417-nucleotide ribosomal RNA is filed under the name uncultured eukaryote. RNAcentral's name for it is "bacterial SSU rRNA". It matches the Rfam family "Eukaryotic small subunit ribosomal RNA", at positions 592 to 1018 of the family's 1831-position model. The record is from RNAcentral.